GGCGGAGCUCGGCGGUCGUCGUCGCCGGCCUACUAGCUGCCAUCGAUCCUUUUUUGUUUCACUUUCUGUUGGUUAGGUCUAGGUAGGCACGCACCUGUUUUGGGUUAGUUAUUAGUAGGGGGGGUUAUUUAGUUUAGCGCAGGAUGUCUGUGUUUGUGCGUGAUUAUGUUUCUUGUCCGUUUUGUGUGCUUGAGGAACGUGUGCUGUUUUUCCUCUUCCUGUGGUUGGUUUCGUUGUGUUCACCACCGCAGAAGUAUUUAAGUGCUGCGUCCCUAUUUUUGGCGACCAUAUCUACUUUCUGGAAUAAAGAAGUGUGGUCAAGAAUUCUCUGUCUCCUGCGCCUGACUCUACCUCUCCUGCUUUCUUGAGCCAGCCCGUGACAGGUACAUGGUGUUUGUAUUGGUAAGGUCUACAGUAUAUGGACUGGUACAUGGUGUGUAUAUUGCUAAGGUCUACAGUAUAUGGACUGGUCCAUGGUGUUUCUAUUGGUAAGGUCUACAGUAUAUGGACUGGUACAUGGUGUAUGUAUUGGUAAGGCCUACAGUAUAUGGACUGGUAAUGAUGUUUGUAUUGGUACGGUCUACAGCAUAUGGACUGGUACAUGAUGUGUAUAUUGGUAAGGUCUACAGUAUAUGGACUGGUACAUGGUGUAUGUAUUGGUAAGGCCUACAGUAUAUGGACUGGUACAUGGUGUGUUUAUUGGUUAUGUCUACAGCGUAUGGACUGGUACAUCGUUUGUAUAUUGGUAAGGCCUACAGUAUAUGGACUGGUACAUGGUGUGUAUAUUGGCAAGGUCUACAGUAUAUGGACUGGUACAUGGUGUGUAUAUUGGUUAUGUCUACAGUAUAUGGACUGGUUCAUGGUGUUUGUAUUGGUAAGGCCUACUGUAGAUGGACUGGUACAUGGUGAUUGUAUUGGUAAUGUCUA
RNAcentral lists this long non-coding RNA (927 nucleotides) under Salmo salar (Atlantic salmon). Its description in RNAcentral is "lncRNA (ENSSSAG00000083755.1)". The record is from RNAcentral. Lineage: Eukaryota; Metazoa; Chordata; Actinopteri; Salmoniformes; Salmonidae.